RNAcentral lists this ribosomal RNA (497 nucleotides) under uncultured bacterium. Its description in RNAcentral is "partial 16S ribosomal RNA". It matches the Rfam family "Bacterial small subunit ribosomal RNA", at positions 28 to 507 of the family's 1533-position model. The record is from RNAcentral.
GAUGAACGCUGGCGGCGUGCCUAAUACAUGCAAGUCGUGCGAACAGAUAAGUAGCUUGCUCCUUUGACGUUAGCGGCGUACGUGUGAGUAACACGUGGGUAACCUAACUUUAAGACUGGAAUAGCUCCGUGAAACCAGGGCUAAUUCCGUAUAACUUUUAGAACCUCAUGGUUCUAAAGUGCAAGCUGUUUUUACUAUCCCUUAUACAUGUACCCGCGCCGUAUGAGCUAGUUGGGAAGGUAACGGCUUACCAAGGCAACGAUACGUAGCCGACCUGGGAAGGUGAACGGCCCCACUGGGACUGAGAGACGGUCCAGACUCCGACGGGAGGCCGCAGUAGGGAAUCGACCGAGAUGGGCGGAAGACUGACGGAGCAACGCCAGGUGAGUGAUGAAGGUCUUCGGGUGGUAAAACUCCGUUAUUAUGGAAGAACAAAUGUGUAAGGAACUGUGCACGUCUUGACGGUACCUAAACAGAAAGCAACGGCUAACUACGUG